UACGGAGGGUGCAAGCGUUAUCCGGAUUCACUGGGUUUAAAGGGUGCGUAGGUGGGUUGGUAAGUCAGUGGUGAAAUCCCCGAGCUUAACUUGGGAACUGCCAUUGAUACUAUCAGUCUUGAAUACUGUGGAGGUCAGCAGAAUAUGUCAUGUAGCGGUGAAAUGCUUAGAUAUGAUAUAGAAUACCAAUUGCGAAGGCAGCUGGCUACACAAAUAUUGACACUGAGGCACGAAAGCGUGGGGAUCAAACAGG
RNAcentral lists this ribosomal RNA (253 nucleotides) under uncultured bacterium. RNAcentral's name for it is "partial 16S ribosomal RNA". It matches the Rfam family "Bacterial small subunit ribosomal RNA", at positions 524 to 776 of the family's 1533-position model. The record is from RNAcentral.